This 25-nucleotide non-coding RNA is filed under the name Cricetulus griseus (Chinese hamster). The record is from RNAcentral. RNAcentral also lists the same sequence under 1 other name. Lineage: Eukaryota; Metazoa; Chordata; Mammalia; Rodentia; Cricetidae.
GUGGCUCUGUGGCGCAAUGGAUAGC